RNAcentral lists this ribosomal RNA (497 nucleotides) under uncultured bacterium. Its description in RNAcentral is "partial 16S ribosomal RNA". It matches the Rfam family "Bacterial small subunit ribosomal RNA", at positions 28 to 507 of the family's 1533-position model. The record is from RNAcentral.
GAUGAACGCUGGCGGCGUGCCUAAUACAUGCAAGUCGAGCGAACGGACGAGAAGCUUGCUUUUCUGAUGUUAGCGGCGGACGGGUGAGUAACACGUGGAUAACCUACCUAUAAGACUGGGAUAACUUCGGGAAACCGUAGCUAAUACCGGAUAAUAUUUUGAACCGCAUUGUUCAAAAGUGAAAGACGGUCUUGCUGUCACUGAUAGAUGGAUCCGCGCUGCAUUAGCUAGUUGGUAAGGUAACGGCUUACCAAGGCAACGAUGCAUAGCCGACCUGAGAGGGUGAUCGGCCACACUGGAACUGAGACACGGUCCCGACUCCUACGGGAGGCAGCAGUAGGGAAUCUUCCGCAAUGGGCGAAAGCCUGACGGAGCAACGCCGCGUGAGUGAUGAAGGUCUUCGGAUCGUAAAACUCUGUUAUUAGGGAAGAACAUAUGCGUAAGUAACUGUGCACAUCUUGACGGUACCUAAUCAGAAAGCCACGGCUAACUACGUG